This is a long non-coding RNA of Cryptomeria japonica (Japanese cedar), 1349 nucleotides long. RefSeq lists it as uncharacterized. NCBI's taxonomy places the organism in Eukaryota, Viridiplantae, Streptophyta, Pinopsida, Cupressales, Cupressaceae. The transcript is spliced from 3 exons. The record is from RefSeq and is a predicted model, not a curated record.
AAGCAUAAAUCUCAGUUAAGCAUGAACAACCCAAAUUAAGUAUUUUCAGAAUUUCACAUUAACUUAGGCAUGGCUUGGGGUUCGGCUAUCACUUAUCGAAGCACGAUGCUAAAAAUGGAGAAGCGAGUGAAUCCAGUGCCCUCUUGUGAAUUCAAAUGAAAUCCUUGUGAGAGUCCAAAUAGUCGUUAUCAGAAUGUUCAAAAUAUCUGAGACUAGAACGUAACGGGAAAAAGCAAAAAAAUGAACGUUGUUAUGGAUGGCAGGAAAAAGCAAAAAAAGCAUAUCGGGGUUAUAUAAAACCAUUUCGUCUUUCAUUUACAACAAGUAUUCUUCCUGUUAGUGUUUCGUUAUGUUUCUGUUCUCUCUCUCUGUUAUAUUUUUUUUUCUCUGUCUUCUAUAGGAUCUCUUUGUUUGUUCAGGAUUUUUCAUCUUUUUGUUUGUUUUGUUUUCUCUAGGAUUUUUGAUCUUUCUGGUAAGGGUUUUGUUACAGCGUGCACGCUGGUCUGUAUUUCCAUUUUAUUUUGGUUGGUUUCUCUGUGAUUUUUUACCUUUUUUUGGGUUGGUUUUUCUGUGAUUUUUUGCCAGUUUUUUUGGUUGGUUUCUCUGUUUUACAUAGGAACAGGCUGAACAGGGGAAGAUGCAGAGCAAAAGGAAGAGACAGGGCAAAAGGCAGCGAUAACUGAUAGAGGCAAAAUCUUUGUUCUAGACUAGAUAAUGAAUUUGUGCAGGAAUAUUUGGCAAGUGAGGAAGGAUGGAGGAGUUGUGCUACAAGUUGAUUCUGCUAUUUUGGAUUGAACGAUAAAACCACCAAGGAGGGAUGGAGGAACUGAGAGACAGGUUAAGAGGGACAUUCUCAUCUGCCUGAAAUUGAAGGCUCUGCGCCAGUGUACAUUCAGGGAUAAACAAUUCAAGCAGAUAGUGCAAGCUCACAAACCACUCACAGCAACCUCCUCAACGUAAAGUAUUGGAUCCUGAUGCAAAUUUCCAACAUGUUGGAGGCAAAAUCAUUGCAGCUAUACCUAGUUGUUCUUGGAACAUGUUGCUGAGAAGUUGGUUAACAAGAUUGCAAAGAAAGCUAAACAACUUUGUCUAUUAGUUGUUUUCAAUAUUGAUUUAGAAAGCUAAACAACUUUGUCAAUUAGUUGUUUUGAAUAUUGAUUUAGAGCAGCAAGGGAUGGGAUUAGGUAUUUUACCAUUUUUUAGUCAUUUCUUGGUCAAUUACAUUGACUUGGUAUGGUAGCUUUGUAACAUGUACAAAUACAAUGAUUAAUAAAAGAAAGUUAUUGAAAGGGGUUAAAACCCCUUUUAGAGACUGAAAGGAAUGGUCAUUGGCCAUGACCAUUCUUUAA